RNAcentral lists this ribosomal RNA (253 nucleotides) under uncultured bacterium. Its description in RNAcentral is "partial 16S ribosomal RNA". It matches the Rfam family "Bacterial small subunit ribosomal RNA", at positions 524 to 776 of the family's 1533-position model. The record is from RNAcentral.
UACGGAGGGUGCAAGCGUUAUCCGGAUUCACUGGGUUUAAAGGGUGCGUAGGUGGGCUGGUAAGUCAGUGGUGAAAUCUCCAGGCUUAACUUGGAAACUGCCAUUGAUACUAUCAGUCUUGAAUACCGUGGAGGUCAGCGGAAUAUGUCGUGUAGCGGUGAAAUGCUUAGAUAUGACAUAGAACACCAAUUGCGAAGGCAGCUGGCUACACGAAUAUUGACACUGAUGCACGAAAGCGUGGGGAUCAAACAGG